Molecule: non-coding RNA, 45 nt
Filed under: Trichobilharzia regenti
Lineage: Eukaryota; Metazoa; Platyhelminthes; Trematoda; Strigeidida; Schistosomatidae
Source: RNAcentral
AUCCAGAUGACGAGUCCCAAAUAGGACGAAAUGUGCAUCUUGGAU